UUUCUCCAGAUAUAUUCUGAAGCCAAAGCUACACACUGUCAUCAUGAAGAUCUUUCCUGUUUUCCUGCUUGUGAUUUCAAUCUAUCUUGUUCAGAGCUUUGAAGAUGAUAAGGAAAAAUGCAGCGCCCGCUACCCGAGCAUGAAAGGAAAAUGUCCCAAGGAGCCGUGUGACAUGACGACAUGUGAUGAGGCUGGAGCCGUCUGCAAAAAUAAUUACUGCGGUGGAUGCAAUGCUAAGUGGUACACUAACGGGCAAAUCUCCGAGAAAUGUUCCAUGUUCUUUUUGGAGAAAAAUCAGUAGAAAGGAAAAGAGGUACACGCAUUAACCCUGCUUUAUGGUCUGUGAAGGUGAAGCUCUUUGAGAAGGAAUUUCAUUAAAAAGAAAACAUGCA
Saccostrea echinata is the source of this 392-nucleotide long non-coding RNA. RefSeq lists it as uncharacterized. The transcript is spliced from 4 exons. The record is from RefSeq and is a predicted model, not a curated record. NCBI's taxonomy places the organism in Eukaryota, Metazoa, Mollusca, Bivalvia, Ostreida, Ostreidae.